Small nucleolar RNA from Mus pahari (shrew mouse), 130 nucleotides. RefSeq annotates it as small nucleolar RNA SNORA17. The transcript has a single exon. Lineage: Eukaryota; Metazoa; Chordata; Mammalia; Rodentia; Muridae. The record is from RefSeq and is a predicted model, not a curated record.
CCUGCCCCUAGAGGUUGCAUGUAUGGCUGCUGUGUCACAUGUGCAUCAGAAGGUGGCAGAGAGGAGAGAGCCUAUGCUAAGGCUCAAUGUUCUGACCUAUGGACUUGUGAAUGAUCAGUGGCCUGACACU